GGUGGUGCUCCCUCUCUCUCUGGUUGGUCUCUUGGUAUUCCCAUCGCUGGCUGACAGAAGUUCCUGUCCUGACCUGUUCCCGUGAGUUCCUGCCAUUGAUUCUCCCUGCCUGAUUGAAGACAAAAUGGAAAACCUCUUACUGCGGUAACUCAAACACAAGCUAGGGGGCAACAAUAACCACAGAACAGAUGGUCAGGAUGAGACAUGUCAACACAGGGAUAUGAAGACACACUUCCACCCUUUUGUAGCAGUCCCUAAAUGAGAAAUUACACACUCUGUGAUUUGAGUGAUGAGUAACUGAAGCAGAUGGCAGAAGAAUCUGCUUUCGCCUUCACCCUCGGUUGCUCCAGCUCCACCUCAUCCCUCCAAAACUCUACUUCCAUCUCAGGAGGGUUGUUGCUGCGGCUCCGCCAUGGCCACCUAGAUCAUCUACAUCAUUCCAUUCCAUCAGCCCUUUUUCUGUGCCAUGGGCUCCUCCAUUGUCGUCACACUGCCUCAACCAUGGCUCCUCCCCCCAGUGAUGCCACUGUGAGGCACAGUCCUGGCUGUGGCCUGGAUCACCACCUGGACGUUCCUGCACAAGGCCAUCUCCUGGAUCACUCCUCCACCUACUCCACCUUGGAUUUUUCUGUUGAGCCCUCUCCUGGAUUCCUCUCUUCCACCAAAUCCUCUAUCCAUCUGCUGGCGUGAGGUCGCACCUUCCAGGAGGGGGCGUAUUGUCAUACUCACACACUUUUUGGACUGUUUUCAUUUUUUCAUCUCCAUUAGUUAGUUGUCAUGGUUGUUAAUUGAUUUGUCAUUUAGUUCAUUAUGGAAGUUUAUCCUUUGUUGCUGCUACCUGAGAAUUAUUAAAGGACUUUUGAUCUUUCA
This is a long non-coding RNA of Cyprinus carpio carpio, 870 nucleotides long. Lineage: Eukaryota; Metazoa; Chordata; Actinopteri; Cypriniformes; Cyprinidae. The record is from Ensembl.